Molecule: ribosomal RNA, 1364 nt
Filed under: uncultured bacterium
Lineage: Bacteria
Description: bacterial SSU rRNA
Rfam family: Bacterial small subunit ribosomal RNA
Source: RNAcentral
ACGAACGCUGGCGGCGUGCCUAAUACAUGCAAGUCGAGCGAAUCGACGGGAGCUUGCUCCCUGAGAUUAGCGGCGGACGGGUGAGUAACACGUGGGCAACCUGCCUAUAAGACUGGGAUAACUUCGGGAAACCGGAGCUAAUACCGGAUAUGUUCUUUUCUCGCAUGAGAGAAGAUGGAAAGACGGUUUACGCUGUCACUUAUAGAUGGGCCCGCGGCGCAUUAGCUAGUUGGUGAGGUAAUGGCUCACCAAGGCUACGAUCCGUAGCCGGCCUGAGAGGGCGGUCGGCCACACUGACACUGACAUACGGGUCAGACUCCUACGGGAGGCAGCAGUCGGGAAUUUUGGGCAAUGGGCGAAAGCCUGACCCAGCAACGCCGCGUGAAGGAUGAAAUCCCUCGGGAUGUAAACUUCGCAAGAACGGGAAGAAUAAGUAGGGGACAAUACCCCCUAUGAUGACGGUACCGUUUGUAAGCUCCGGCUAACUCCGUGCCAGCAGCCGCGGUAAUACGGGGGGAGCAAGCGUUGUUCGGAUUUACUGGGCGUAAAGGGCGCGUAGGCGGCCUCCGCAAGUCAAUUGUGAAAUCUCCGGGCUUAACUCGGAAAGGUCAACUGAUACUGCGGGGCUAGAGUGCGGAAGGGGCAACUGGAAUUCUUGGUGUAGCGGUGAAAUGCGUAGAUAUCAAGAGGAACACCUGCGGCGAAGGCGGGUUGCUGGGCCGACACUGACGCUGAGGCGCGAAAGCUAGGGGAGCGAACGGGAUUAGAUACCCCGGUAGUCCUAGCCUUAAACGAUGAAUGCUUGGUGUCUGGGGUUAUAUAGUCCCCGGGUGCCGUCGCUAACGCCUUAAGCAUUCCGCCUGGGGAGUACGGUCGCAAGACUGAAACUCAAAGGAAUUGACGGGGACCCGCACAAGCGGUGGAGCAUGUGGUUUAAUUCGAAGCAACGCGAAGAACCUUACCAGGUCUUGACAUCCCUCUGACCGGUCUAGAGAUAGGCCUUUCCUUCGGGACAGAGGAGACAGGUGGUGCAUGGUUGUCGUCAGCUCGUGUCGUGAGAUGUUGGGUUAAGUCCCGCAACGAGCGCAACCCUUGAACUUAGUUGCCAGCACCUCGGGUGGGCACUCUAGGUUGACUGCCGGUGACAAACCGGAGGAAGGCGGGGAUGACGUCAAAUCAUCAUGCCCCUUAUGACCUGGGCUACACACGUACUACAAUGGCCGGUACAACGGGCUGCGAAACCGCGAGGUGGAGCCAAUCCCAACAAAGCCGGUCUCAGUUCGGAUUGCAGGCUGCAACUCGCCUGCAUGAAGUCGGAAUUGCUAGUAAUCGCGGAUCAGCAUGCCGCGGGAAUACGUUCCCGG